UUGGAGAUAAGCGGACUCGAACCGCUGACAUCCGCC
Molecule: transfer RNA, 36 nt
Filed under: Nouelia insignis
Lineage: Eukaryota; Viridiplantae; Streptophyta; Magnoliopsida; Asterales; Asteraceae
Also listed under: 1 other name
Description: partial tRNA-Ala
Source: RNAcentral